GCAAGUCGGACGGCAGCAGGUCCUUCGGGAUGCUGGCGAGUGGCGGACGGGUGAGUAAUGCGUAGGAACCUAUCCUUUUGUGGGGGACAACCCAGGGAAACUUGGGCUAAUACCGCAUAAGCCCUGAGGGGGAAAGCGGGGGAUCUUCGGACCUCGUGCUGAAGGAGGGGCCUACGUCCGAUUAGCUAGUUGGUGGGGUAAAGGCCUACCAAGGCGACGAUCGGUAGCUGGUCUGAGAGGACGACCAGCCACACUGGGACUGAGACACGGCCCAGACUCCUACGGGAGGCAGCAGUGGGGAAUUUUUCGCAAUGGGGGCAACCCUGACGAAGCAAUGCCGCGUGGAUGAAGAAGGCCUUCGGGUUGUAAAGUCCUUUCGUGGAGGACGAAAAGGUGGGUGCUAAUAACGCCUGCUGUUGACGUGAAUCCAAGAAGAAGCACCGGCUAACUCCGUGCCAGCAGCCGCGGUAAUACGGGGGGUGCAAGCGUUAAUCGGAAUCACUGGGCGUAAAGGGUGCGUAGGCGGUGCAUUAGGUCUGUCGUGAAAUCCCCGGGCUCAACCUGGGAAUGGCGGUGGAAACCGGUGUACUAGAGUAUGGGAGAGGGUGGUGGAAUUCCAGGUGUAGCGGUGAAAUGCGUA
RNAcentral lists this ribosomal RNA (640 nucleotides) under uncultured Acidithiobacillus sp. RNAcentral's name for it is "bacterial SSU rRNA". It matches the Rfam family "Bacterial small subunit ribosomal RNA", at positions 57 to 692 of the family's 1533-position model. Lineage: Bacteria; Pseudomonadati; Pseudomonadota; Acidithiobacillia; Acidithiobacillales; Acidithiobacillaceae. The record is from RNAcentral.